AACGAACGCUGGCGGCGCGCCUAACACAUGCAAGUCGAACGAGAAUCCGGGGGCAACCCGGUAGUAAAGUGGCAAACGGGUGAGGAAUACAUGGGUAACCUACCCUUGAGAAGGGAAUAACCCGGCCGAAAAGGUGAGCUAAUACCCCUAGUAACGCUAUCUUUUUUUCGAAAAGGAUAGGAAAGCCGGGUCGAGGACCUGGUACUCAAGGAGGGGCUCAUGUCCUAUCAGCUUGUUGGUGGGGUAACGGCCUACCAAGGCUACGACGGGUAGCUGGUCUGAGAGGAUGAUCAGCCACACUGGCACUGAGAUACGGGCCAGACUCCUACGGGAGGCAGCAGUGAGGAAUAUUGCGC
Molecule: ribosomal RNA, 356 nt
Filed under: uncultured bacterium
Lineage: Bacteria
Description: bacterial SSU rRNA
Rfam family: Bacterial small subunit ribosomal RNA
Source: RNAcentral